This 478-nucleotide ribosomal RNA is filed under the name uncultured bacterium. RNAcentral's name for it is "bacterial SSU rRNA". It matches the Rfam family "Bacterial small subunit ribosomal RNA", at positions 30 to 507 of the family's 1533-position model. The record is from RNAcentral.
AUUGAACGCUGGCGGAAUGCUUUACACAUGCAAGUCGAACGGUAGAGGGGCAACCCUUGAGAGUGGCGAACGGGUGAGUAAUAUAUCGGAACGUGCCCAGUCGUGGGGGAUAACGUAGCGAAAGUUACGCUAAUACCGCAUACGAUCUAAGGAUGAAAGCGGGGGACCGUAAGGCCUCGCGCGAUUGGAGCGGCCGAUAUCAGAUUAGGUAGUUGGUGGGGUAAAGGCUCACCAAGCCAACGAUCUGUAGCUGGUCUGAGAGGACGACCAGCCACACUGGAACUGAGACACGGUCCAGACUCCUACGGGAGGCAGCAGUGGGGAAUUUUGGACAAUGGACGCAAGUCUGAUCCAGCCAUUCCGCGUGCAGGAUGAAGGCCCUCGGGUUGUAAACUGCUUUUGUACGGAACGAAAAGGUUUCUCUUAAUACGAGGAGCUCAUGACGGUACCGUAAGAAUAAGCACCGGCUAACUACGUG